Molecule: long non-coding RNA, 623 nt
Organism: Pipra filicauda (Wire-tailed manakin)
Lineage: Eukaryota; Metazoa; Chordata; Aves; Passeriformes; Pipridae
Exons: 2
Source: RefSeq, a predicted model, not a curated record
UUUCAUGAGAAGCUGCACAUCAGAACCAUCACACAUCUGCACACUUGUAAUGACUUAAAGAGCACACUCAAGGCCACAGAAGGAACUUGCCGUAAGAUAAGCCACCGCAGUGGGAACUUGAGAAUAGCAAAGAAGGGAGGAAUUUGUGAGAGCAAGGCAAUAAUCCCAGGCCUGGCAGAGGUGAGAUCUGGUUGCAAAUCCUGGUUAAUGCAUUCAGACAAAAAUUCCCACUGUGGCAAACUGGGAGAGGAAGCAGCUACUCAUACACAUAGCACCACUCAAAGAAAGAUCACAUUAAGUUAUGGGAAUGACAUGUGCAACCAUCCCAUGGAUACUCGGAACUUGGACUGUAUAAAGGUGCUAACUCCAGAAGAACAAGUCCAGGACCCCCACCACUGAGAAGACCAGGGUGAAGAAGGACCAACGGGACACUUUUGGAUCCACAGCUUCCAUCCCACUUCAGAGAUGCCAGUCUUCUCAACCUCCAUCCUGAACUUCAGCCAUUUGCCUUUUAUUCCCUGAAUUUCUUUUAGCAAUGGUAUCACUGCUUUAAACACCAUGUUGGUUUAUUCACCUUUGCCCAGUUAAAUAUGAAUAAAAACUCCAUUUGUUUUCAGGCUCCA